Odobenus rosmarus divergens (Pacific walrus) is the source of this 549-nucleotide non-coding RNA. Lineage: Eukaryota; Metazoa; Chordata; Mammalia; Carnivora; Odobenidae. The record is from the annotation of a RefSeq genome assembly.
AUGGCUGUCAGGCUUCUCUGCUAUGUGGCCAUUUACCUUCUGGAGGCGGGCCUCCUGGAUGCUAGUGUCUCCCAGAUCCCGAGACACUAUGUUUCAGGGACAGGAAAGACGAUUGUUCUGGAAUGUUCUCAAACUAUGGGCUAUGAGAACAUGUACUGGUAUCGACAAGACCCAGGAAAGGCACUACAGCUGAUCCAUUAUUCAUAUGGUGUUAAUACCACAGAGAAAACAGAGUUCUCCUCUGGAUCAACUGUCUCUAGAAUAAGGAAGGAGCAUUUUCCCCUAACCCUGGAGUCUGCCAGCCCCUCAUAGACAUCUCUCUACCUCUGUGCCAUCAGCCUCAAGGAUGCUGUGGUCACACAGUUCCCAAGACAUAGGAUCUUGGGGACAGGAAAGGAAUUAACCCUACAGUGUUCUCAGGAUAUGAACUAUGUUUCAAUGUUCUGGUAUCGCCAAGACCCAGGGUUUGGACUGUGGCUGAUCUACUACUCAACUGGUACCAACACCUUUGAAAAAGGAGAUGUCCCUCAGGGGUAUCGUGUCUCUUGA